AAAUAAAGAAAGAUUCCGUGCAUCUUCCUCCUACCGUUCACUCCUCCUACCGCUCCCUUAUCUCCCAAAAAUGGACAUCUUCAGCCAUGGAAAAAAUUGAUCCAAGAAUCCGCCGGGGUGCGACGCCGAGUCGACGCUAGUUCCAAUCCCAUGCGCGGCGCCGACUGUGCUCUUCUCUCCACUCGCCGUUCCCCCAAAAUGAAACUCUCGACCCAACCACUGCCGGGGUCGUUCAAUUUCUCAGAGAUAGAUCUGACAAAGCAACCACUAUGGGAUAUAUCAGAUAUGCAGUGAGGUGAUGUAUGUGUGGUGUAGAGAUGGGUUGUAGAGGAGUCCUCAGAUGUACAUUCAAUUAUAUUGCGUUCAUGUCAGAGCUAUGAGACAGAUUAAGGCAUGAGUCGUGAUAUUGAAAUUGCGGAUACUUAGUAAAUUGAAGGUCUAUGUACAAUUUUCUCAAUAUCAGUUGAGUCCGGGAACACGACAAUUUGCUCACCUUGAAGAUGGAAUUGCAGUCUCUGUACAGAAGGCUGCCGGUGCUGAAGUUCAAAUCCAAAGAUACGCCAAGAUGCUUCACCUGCGGAUAGGUAUCGUGCAUCAAGGCCACUUUGGGUUGCAUGUGAAAGUGAUAAACAGAUCUGGAUAUCCAGCCCACCGACAUAUGGCCAUUGCAUCCUGACCGCUAUAUAGCUCUGUUCUAAGCGUCCCUUGAUGCAUCCUGUACCAAUUGAGCCUCCAUUGCUCAAUGCAUGUUGCUGCGUCUAUGAUGAACUGAAGGAAUAGCUUGCCACUCGUUUGCAAGACUACUGACUGGUUCAGUCGCUGCUGGAUGCGAUAUGCAUAAUACUCCAUCAUGGUCGAAAUUUUGCUGCUGCUGGAAUGACUCUCACGUUUUUAAUGAGAUGUGAGUUAUUUGUCCAAACCUGGGUGAUUAGAGCAGAUCAGAAAGGACGGCGGCCUGUUCGUGUUCGUGAUGGAAGCGAGGGAAGGUGCUCUCUGUUGUUGGCGAUGAGAGAUGUUGUAGAAGCUGUUCUCUGCAGCGUGAAGCCGGAGACGCGUGCGAGAAGAAUUACGAUCUAUGGGAUGGCCUCACGUCAAGCAUAUAACCUGGAGAACGAAAAAACACCUGAUGUGUACGUGAUGUAUAUAUUCACAAAUAUAUAUAUACACAGCCAUGCAUGUGUUUGUGUUGCCAAAGACAUUACGUUUGGGUGUCCUUUUCUUUUUGGACAAUUAAAGUACGAUAUGCGACCAUUGUUGGGAAUAAAAAUAGAAGGCCGACAUUUUUUUU
RNAcentral lists this ribosomal RNA (1288 nucleotides) under Triticum aestivum (bread wheat). RNAcentral's name for it is "partial small subunit ribosomal RNA". Lineage: Eukaryota; Viridiplantae; Streptophyta; Magnoliopsida; Poales; Poaceae. The record is from RNAcentral.